UACCCAUAAACCUUUAAGGUUUUUCAUUGUUAAUGAAAACAAGAAAGAUGAUCAUUAA
RNAcentral lists this transfer RNA (58 nucleotides) under Scolopendra dehaani. Its description in RNAcentral is "tRNA-Asn". Lineage: Eukaryota; Metazoa; Arthropoda; Chilopoda; Scolopendromorpha; Scolopendridae. The record is from RNAcentral.